RNAcentral lists this ribosomal RNA (1346 nucleotides) under uncultured bacterium. RNAcentral describes it as "partial 16S ribosomal RNA". It matches the Rfam family "Bacterial small subunit ribosomal RNA", at positions 28 to 1381 of the family's 1533-position model. The record is from RNAcentral.
GACGAACGCUGGCGGCGUGCUUAACACAUGCAAGUCGAACGGAAAGGCCCUGCUUUUGUGGGGUGCUCGAGUGGCGAACGGGUGAGUAACACGUGAGUAACCUGCCCUUGACUUUGGGAUAACUUCAGGAAACUGGGGCUAAUACCGGAUAGGAGCUCCUGCUGCAUGGUGGGAGUUGGAAAGUUUCGGCGGUUGGGGAUGGACUCGCGGCUUAUCAGCUUGUUGGUGGGGUAGUGGCUUACCAAGGCUUUGACGGGUAGCCGGCCUGAGAGGGUGACCGGCCACAUUGGGACUGAGAUACGGCCCAGACUCCUACGGGAGGCAGCAGUGGGGAAUAUUGCACAAUGGGCGGAAGCCUGAUGCAGCAACGCCGCGUGCGGGAUGACGGCCUUCGGGUUGUAAACCGCUUUCGCCUGUGACGAAGCGUGAGUGACGGUAAUGGGUAAAGAAGCACCGGCUAACUACGUGCCAGCAGCCGCGGUGAUACGUAGGGUGCGAGCGUUGUCCGGAUUUAUUGGGCGUAAAGGGCUCGUAGGUGGUUGAUCGCGUCGGAAGUGUAAUCUUGGGGCUUAACCCUGAGCGUGCUUUCGAUACGGGUUGACUUGAGGAAGGUAGGGGAGAAUGGAAUUCCUGGUGGAGCGGUGGAAUGCGCAGAUAUCAGGAGGAACACCAGUGGCGAAGGCGGUUCUCUGGGCCUUUCCUGACGCUGAGGAGCGAAAGCGUGGGGAGCGAACAGGCUUAGAUACCCUGGUAGUCCACGCUGUAAACGGUGGGUACUAGGUGUGGGGUCCAUUCCACGGGUUCCGUGCCGUAGCUAGCGCUUUAAGUACCCCGCCUGGGGAGUACGGCCGCAAGGCUAAAACUCAAAGGAAUUGACGGGGCCCCGCACAAGCGGCGGAGCAUGCGGAUUAAUUCGAUGCAACGCGUAGAACCUUACCUGGGUUUGACAUGGAUCGGGAGUGCUCAGAGAUGGGUGUGCCUCUUUUGGGGUCGGUUCACAGGUGGUGCAUGGCUGUCGUCAGCUCGUGUCGUGAGAUGUUGGGUUAAGUCCCGCAACGAGCGCAACCCUUGUUCACUGUUGCCAGCACGUUAUGGUGGGGACUCAGUGGAGACCGCCGGGGUCAACUCGGAGGAAGGUGGGGAUGACGUCAAGUCAUCAUGCCCCUUAUGUCCAGGGCUUCACGCAUGCUACAAUGGCUGGUACAGAGAGUGGCGAGCCUGUGAGGGUGAGCGAAUCUCGGAAAGCCGGUCUCAGUUCGGAUUGGGGUCUGCAACUCGACCUCAUGAAGUCGGAGUCGCUAGUAAUCGCAGAUCAGCAACGCUGCGGUGAAUACGUUCCCGGGGCU